GUAGGGAAUAUUGCUCAAUGGGGGAAACCCUGAAGCAGCAACGCCGCGUGGAGGAUGAAGGUUUUAGGAUUGUAAACUCCUUUUGUAAGAGAAGAUUAUGACGGUAUCUUACGAAUAAGCACCGGCUAACUCCGUGCCAGCAGCCGCGGUAAUACGGAGGGUGCAAGCGUUACUCGGAAUCACUGGGCGUAAAGAGCGCGUAGGCGGGAGAGUAAGUCAGAUGUGAAAUCCUGUAGCUUAACUACAGAACUGCAUUUGAAACUACUUUUCUAGAGUAUGGGAGAGGUAGGUGGAAUUCUUGGUGUAGGGGUAAAAUCCGUAGAGAUCAAGAGGAAUACUCAUUGCGAAGGCGACCUGCUGGAACAUUACUGACGCUGAUGCGCGAAAGCGUGGGGAGCAAACAGGAUUAGAAACCCUAGUAGUCC
This 425-nucleotide ribosomal RNA is filed under the name uncultured bacterium. RNAcentral's name for it is "bacterial SSU rRNA". It matches the Rfam family "Bacterial small subunit ribosomal RNA", at positions 354 to 796 of the family's 1533-position model. The record is from RNAcentral.